This 484-nucleotide ribosomal RNA is filed under the name uncultured bacterium. Its description in RNAcentral is "partial 16S ribosomal RNA". It matches the Rfam family "Bacterial small subunit ribosomal RNA", at positions 28 to 523 of the family's 1533-position model. The record is from RNAcentral.
GACGAACGCUGGCGGCGUGCUUAACACAUGCAAGUCGAACGAUGAACCCGGAGCUUGCUCCGGUGGAUUAGUGGCGAACGGGUGAGUAACACGUGAGUAACCUGCCCUUGACUCUGGGAUAACUGCGGGAAACUGUAGCUAAUACCGGAUACGACCCUCGGCGGCAUCGCCAGGGGGUGGAAAGAAUUUCGGUCAAGGAUGGACUCGCGGCCGAUCAGCUAGUUGGUGAGGUAGCGGCUCACCAAGGCGACGACGGGUAGCCGGCCUGAGAGGGUGACCGGCCACACUGGGACUGAGACACGGCCCAGACUCCUACGGGAGGCAGCAGUGGGGAAUAUUGCACAAUGGGCGCAAGCCUGAUGCAGCAACGCCGCGUGAGGGAUGACGGCCUUCGGGUUGUAAACCUCUUUUAGUAGGGAAGAAGCGAAAGUGACGGUACCUGCAGAAAAAGCACCGGCUAACUACGUGCCAGCCGCCGCGGUAA